GAAAUGCGAUACUUGGUGUGAAUUGCAGAAUCCCGUGAACCAUCGAGUCUUUGAACGCAAGUUGCGCCCGAAGCCAUUAGGUUGAGGGCACGUCUGCCUGGGCGUCUCACGUUGCGUCACUUGCACCCCCUCUCCCCCGAAGGAGGGACGAAGGGCUACGGGCAGAUGUUGGCCCCCCGUGCGCGCGCCCACCUUAUCGGCCCAAAAACGAGUCCCCUGCGACAGACGACGCGUCGCGACGAGUGGUGGUUGACAAACCGUUGCAUCGCCUCGCGCGCGUCCCGGCCAUCUUAGGAGGCCUGUCGUGACCCUAUCGCGCCGUCGCCGCCAAGGCCAGGCACUCCGAUUGCGACCCCAGGUCAGGCAGGAUUACCCGCUGAGUUUAA
This 386-nucleotide unclassified non-coding RNA is filed under the name uncultured fungus. RNAcentral describes it as "sequence contains ITS1". The stretch from base 1 to 107 matches the Rfam family "5.8S ribosomal RNA", at positions 50 to 154 of the family's 154-position model. Lineage: Eukaryota; Fungi. The record is from RNAcentral.